Molecule: long non-coding RNA, 624 nt
Filed under: Mytilus galloprovincialis (Mediterranean mussel)
Lineage: Eukaryota; Metazoa; Mollusca; Bivalvia; Mytilida; Mytilidae
Source: RNAcentral
UGUUUAUGGUCUUGACUUCUUGGACAAUGGAAUGAAAUUUGUUUUGGUGGUGAUCCCUGUUGAUCUUAUACCAUCUUCACUAACAAUACAAGGAAAAAUCACAACCAUAUCAAUCGUCAAAGUUUUGUUUUUAAAUUUGAAUUAAUAACAUAAUUGAUUCAGGUUAUCAAAUAUAUAAAUUAAUGUCCAUUUACAUGUAUGGAAAAAUAAGGCUUAAAAGUACAAACACUUAAUAAAUUUCAAAUACAUGAGGCAAUGUAAAUAACCAAUUAUAUAAGACUAUGGGCGGAUCCAGGAUUUUUUCAGAGGUUGGAUGUAUAAAAACUGUGUAUUUUUGGCCUGGCUGACCAAAGAGAAAAAAAAUUGGGACAAUCAUAUGCUUCAAUGUAGGUGUUCUGGUAUGUCAUGAUUAUUAGCCCCACUCACAAAUUUUCAAAGUCCUAACCCCCUUAUAAUCAUGCUAAUUUCAGCAAAAGUCAUUAGAGGAGAACCUUAUGUAAAGGGACAUAUCAAAAAGAAGAUGUGGUUUGCUUGCCAAUGAGACAACUGUCCACAAGAGACCAAAAUGACACAGACAUUAACAACUAUAGGUCACCGUACGGCCUUCAACAAUGAGCAAAGCCC